GUACAUUAAGAAAAAGGUCAGAAGACAUUAUUUGCAUUGAGAAAACUUGUGAUGAGAUCAUCUUGGAUGAAGAUGUUUUACUUUGGGAGAAACCACCUGACUACCGGGUCAGCAAGAGACUAUGAGACCGACUCAGUCUGUUCUGGACCUAGAAUCCGUCAAGUUGAAAUAGUUCAUAGCAAAGUUAUCCAAUGGUGAUCUUGUUAUAGUGGUUGGAGGGGAGUCCUCUCAGGAGGGGAGAAGUUACGGUAAGAGACGAAAACACACGAGAGACCAGAUGAGAGUGUAAUUAUCCUGAUCACACCUUUCCUCCACUCUUCAUGUCAACAUGCCAAGUUCCUCCCUCCCAAACAUCCUCUAUUUUCCUUCUCCGUUUAUGCAGCUGUUGCCCGAACAGCUGGGACAGCGUCUUACCUCACAAAAGAUCCAUUAUGACCCUCCCCCUUUCACGCUACGUACCUUCAAAGCCGCACCUAAAGUAGACUGGUGAAUAACGCCACACAAGUAUCUGCAGAAGGAAAACACAGACUGCAAACUACAACUGAGCAUUUAGUGAAUAAUAUGAUAAAUGCUGCUGAACAAACUGUCUGUUCCAGACAUUCCUCACAUAAUCUUGCUGGGAAAUGCUAUUUGGCAUCGUCCAUGACACGUAGAGGUGUUUUCCCAAUCUUUCUCCACCCCAGUCUCUGGGGAGUGAAGCACACACGUCCUCCCUCCCUCGGAUGCACCCAGGCCAGAGCUGAUGUUGGAGAUCAAAACGCUCAUCGCUGGAGGACACGACAGCGCCUCCGACCAUCACAACCUCAACCCUUACCGCCAUGGAAACUCUUACUCUCGUCCACAUGGAAAGAUUCGGGAAAGAAAAAGCACCUGUGUGGCCUCUGUUGUGAUUAUUUGUCUGCCGGAAUGCAGUGGCACUGGUGUGACACUGAUGCAGGUUACAAGACAAUGUGAGAAUAAGCGGUAAUCCAUAACAAAAUCUCCAAGUUGGCUCAAGAACUACAGAAGCAGGAAGCGGAAAAGACGUGACGAGUGAACGUCCCCAGCAGUUUAUUGGGAAU
This is a long non-coding RNA of Gasterosteus aculeatus aculeatus (three-spined stickleback), 1061 nucleotides long. NCBI's taxonomy places the organism in Eukaryota, Metazoa, Chordata, Actinopteri, Perciformes, Gasterosteidae. The record is from Ensembl.